Panthera pardus (leopard) is the source of this 333-nucleotide unclassified non-coding RNA. Its record names the gene 7SK. It matches the Rfam family "7SK RNA". From Rfam's summary of the family: 7SK was discovered as an abundant small nuclear RNA in the mid-70s but a possible function has only recently been suggested. Two independent studies have found that 7SK RNA binds the CDK9/cyclin T complex (known as elongation factor P-TEFb). The record is from Ensembl. Lineage: Eukaryota; Metazoa; Chordata; Mammalia; Carnivora; Felidae.
AGAUGCGGGAGUGAUCUGGCUGCAACAUCUGUCACCCCAUUGAUUUCCGGGGUUGACUUGGCCGAUCUGGCUGCCUAGUCAGGUGUCCUCCUCCUCCCUCACUGGUCCAUGUGCAUCUGUCCCAAAGCUGUUUUCUUAGUUGAAGAGGACGCCCUUCCCUGAUAGAGGAGGAGCAUUCUUCUUAGGUCAAGGGUAUCCGAGUAGCUGCACUCCCCCACUAGAACCUCUAAACAACUCUCAGUGUCCGUUUGUAGGAGAACUUAGGGUAGUCGAAUUUCCAGGACUCCAGAUACCCCCAGAUGAGGUGCUGUAUGAGACAGUUUGCCUUUCUUA